Molecule: ribosomal RNA, 871 nt
Filed under: uncultured Mycoplasma sp.
Lineage: Bacteria; Bacillati; Mycoplasmatota; Mollicutes; Mycoplasmatales; Mycoplasmataceae
Description: bacterial SSU rRNA
Rfam family: Bacterial small subunit ribosomal RNA
Source: RNAcentral
UGAUGGAGCUAUGCCAUGUGAAUGAUGAAGAUCUUUUUGAUUGUAAAGUUCUUUUAUUGGGGAAAAUGAUGAUGGUACCCGAUGAAUAAGUGACAGCAAACUAUGUGCCAGCAGCUGCGGUAAUACAUAGGUCGCUAGCGUUAUUCGGAUUUAUUGGGCGUAAAGCAAGCGCAGGCGGACGAGUAAGUUCUGUGUUAAAAGCAGCAGCUCAACUGUUGUUUGCGCCGAAUACUGCUCGUCUAGAAUACGGUAGAAAGUUUCGGAAUUGAAUAUGGAGCGGUGGAAUGUGUAGAUAUAUUCAAGAACACCAGAGGCGAAGGCGGAAACUUAGGCCGCUAUUGACGCUUAGGCUUGAAAGUGUGGGGAGCAAAUGGGAUUAGAUACCCCAGUAGUCCACACCGUAAACGAUGGAUAUUAGAUGUUGGGACUUGAGUCUCAGCGUUGUAGCUUACGUGUUAAAUAUCCCGCCUGAGUAGUACAUAUGCAAAUAUGAAACUCAAAGGAAUUGACGGGGACCUGAACAAGUGGUGGAACAUGUUGCUUAAUUCGACAAUACACGAAAAACCUUACCAAGAUUUGACAUCCCUUGCUAAACCCUAGAAAUAGGGUGGAAGUUAUCAAGGUGACAGGUGGUGCAUGGCUGUCGUCAGCUCGUGUCAUGAGAUGUUUGGUUAAGUCCCGCAACGAGCGUAACCCUACUCUUUAGUUAGCUUUUUAGAGAGACUGCACAGUAAUGUAGAGGAAGGAUGGGAUCACGUCAAGUCAUCAUGCCCCUUAUAUCUUGGGCCGCAAACGUGUUACAAUGGCGAGUACAGCGUGUCGCAAACCAGCGAUGGUAAGCCAAUCACUAAAAGCUCGUCUCAGUCCGGAU